Molecule: ribosomal RNA, 300 nt
Filed under: Triticum aestivum (bread wheat)
Lineage: Eukaryota; Viridiplantae; Streptophyta; Magnoliopsida; Poales; Poaceae
Description: partial small subunit ribosomal RNA
Source: RNAcentral
AUGAGCGGCAGGGCCUCCGGCGGGCCCGUCCACGUGCGGUCGAUGCUGCCGUCGUCCAUCACGCGCAACCAGCCGGACACCUCGUCCACCACCUUACGGCCGCUCGGCGGCGCCGCGGUGGUCGCCUGGUGCUGCGAGGCGGCGGCGGGGGCCAUCGGUCGUCGCUGUGUUGGAGUAUGUUACACGCUCUACGGUGCGGGUCGCGCGGUCUGGCAAGUGCGCGGCGUCGUGUGUAGAGCACCGUGUGAGAGUGUGAUGGUUUGGUGGUGGCAACAGGGGAGGGGAUGUGGAGUUUUAUAG